This is a long non-coding RNA of Pipra filicauda (Wire-tailed manakin), 376 nucleotides long. RefSeq lists it as uncharacterized. NCBI's taxonomy places the organism in Eukaryota, Metazoa, Chordata, Aves, Passeriformes, Pipridae. The record is from RefSeq and is a predicted model, not a curated record. The transcript is spliced from 3 exons.
GGCGAGGGAGCUGCAUUGGGAUGAGAAGCUGGGAGAAUGUGACCGGAACAGGAUUGUGCUGAGGAGCAAGAAUGGAUGUGGUGUUUGGAGUGUUGUGGGCUACUUUUAUCAAAAGGAGAUGUGACCUUCCUAGGAACAAGAUAAGAGCGGAAAGGCAAUCUGCUUUAUCCAAACCUAAUCAGCAAGGAAGCCCCCAAGUAUCAGUGUUUUGGAUCAACUGGCUUGAUGACACUUGGAAUGGUGAAACCACCCUCUGACAGUGGCAGCUCAUGUCUAGAAAGGCUCAGGAGGGAGAGCACCAGCUGCUCUCCCAGCUGCUAUGUCCUCCCUGCACAUCCCAAGAGUUACAAGGGAAAGAGAAGUGAUUCCAGGAAUG